This 1580-nucleotide long non-coding RNA is filed under the name Elaeis guineensis (African oil palm). Its description in RNAcentral is "long non-coding RNA (EGUI_LNC059402)". The record is from RNAcentral. Lineage: Eukaryota; Viridiplantae; Streptophyta; Magnoliopsida; Arecales; Arecaceae.
CUGGUGAUGGACUUCGGAUGGCAUUGGGGAGGUUCGGCAGACAUCGAAGGCGAUCGGUCGUUGUAGGAAUCCAGCUGCUGGAGCCCGAUCGUCGUAGAAGCUCAUCCGAUAUCCAAUCGCUAUGGAGGUUCGGUCGAAGUUUGGUUCUUGUAGAAGGCUGAAAGGAGACCGCUUAUUGUAGAAGCUCGAUCGAAGGUCAGUUGUCGUGGGAGCUCGGAGUAGCGACCUGGCUGAUGAGUCCUGUCCCAUUGUAGAAGCUCGAUCGAAGAUCGGUUGUCGCGGGACCCGACUACGAAGAAGCUCGACUGAAGUCUACAUGUAAUGGAAGUUCGGAAGGAAUAUGUUUAUAGCAGAGGCUCGGAUGGGAUUUGCUUACAGUAGGGAUCCGAGGUAGGCCAUCCGCUGUAAGGGUUCGGAGUAGACUGCUCGCAGCAGGAGUUCGGGACAGACCACUCUAGUGGAAGUUCAGAGUAGGCCGCUCGCGGCAGGAGUUCGGCUAUCGCAGGAGCUCGACUGGAAUCUUGAAGGUGGUCGACCACCGUAGAAAUGUGGAAGGAGCCUGGUUACUAUAGAAAUCUCGUUGUCGGGGAAGCUCGGAUGCUGACGAAGCCCGAAAGAAGUUCGAGGGUAGUCGAUUGCUGUAGGACGGUUAACAGCGAGGCUCAGAGGGCCUUUGGGGUGGCCCGAUGGGUGAACACUGAGGCCCAUCAUCGAAGAAGUCCGGAUGGCCGAGAGAGUUUGGAGAGGCGUCACGUACAAGGUCGGAAGUCGGAGGAGCCCCAAAGGAUCAGUCCUCUGCAGACUUCGGUCGGGGGGGCACUUUAUACCCAACAGUCACAAAAUUUAUUUUUAAUAUGAUUCAUGAUUUGUAUAUGAGAUAUAUAAUAUCAUAUAUUGAUCUGAAUUUUAUUUAGGUCUGAAUUUUGCAUGCAUAUAUGAGAUAUAUGUUUAUAUGUUAAAUCUAAAAAUUAUUUUUAUAAUUUAAAAUUUACUUUCAUGCAAAGAAUUUAGAUCUAAAAUUUGAUUUUAGAAUCUAAAAUUUAUGUUUGUGCAUGAGGAUUUUGGUUAUGAAAAAAUCAAAAAUUAGGUCAUGUAAUGAGAUUGUAUCUAGGAUUUUGAUUUGAAUCAUAUGGGUUUAAUUUGAUUAAAUAAUUGAUCAAAUCGAGUCAAAUAUUGAUGAGGGUUAGGUCAAUUAAGUAAUAUGAUCAUAUAAUUAUUGUUGAUCAAAUCGAUUGAGUCUCAUAUAUAGAAUCAAUAAACCUAAAGACCUAAUUUGGCUCGAUAGUUUGAGCCUAAUUCACUUGAGUUAACCUUUUUGGACCCAUUGACCUAUUGGUGUCUAAGAUAAGUAAUUGAGAUAUGGUUAUUUAAUUGGUUCCGUUAGCUUAUCUGAUCAAUUUAUUGGUGUCUAAGAAAAGCAAUGGGAGGACCCCCAUCGAUCUCCACUUGAUCAAUUUGGAAGAUUGAGUCUUCAAUAAGAUUGUUUUGCGGUUUGGUUUAGCCCAUACCAAUUAGAUCGGUCAUAUGAUGACUAUUAGAUGAGACAUAAACCUAAAUCUCUCCAUAAAUAUUAAGUCCAU